This 103-nucleotide microRNA precursor is filed under the name Ovis aries (sheep). RNAcentral's name for it is "miRNA (ENSOARG00000024897.1)". Lineage: Eukaryota; Metazoa; Chordata; Mammalia; Artiodactyla; Bovidae. The record is from RNAcentral.
CCGAGAAUCGCAUGCCGGCUCUGCUCAGCGCCUCUGCCCCUCAGCCUUCCCGGGGAGGGGAGGGGAGGGGGAGCCCGGGCUUGUCUCUGCUGGGGUCUCUCCU